Molecule: long non-coding RNA, 8939 nt
Organism: Equus asinus (donkey)
Lineage: Eukaryota; Metazoa; Chordata; Mammalia; Perissodactyla; Equidae
Source: Ensembl
UCAGUGGUUCUGGGUCUUGGCUGCACUUUCUAAUUACCCAGGAGCCGUUUGAAUGUACCCUGCCUGGAGCCCACGCCCAGAAGUUCUGAUUUAAUUGGUCUGGGGUGGGGCCUGGACUUGGGUGUUUUUUAAAAAACUCUCCAGAUAGAUCCAACGUGCGGCGCAAGUCAAAGACUCCAGCUCUAACCUGAAAAGUUGUUUUGUUCCCACAAACAUUUCCUGAGCGUUUACAAGGUACCGAAUUGUGUGUGGCUGGUGGGAGAGGAGGGCGGCGGAGGAACACAUGGAAAACCAGGUGAGGGCCCGGCCACCCAAGUUCCUGAUGGCCUCGAACGGAGGAGCAGAACACAACAGGAUUCCGCCACCACGAGUGAAGCGAGCAUUGGGGCUGGAAAUGUGGGUGCUCUGGAAGGAAAGGUGAAGGAGCCAUUGGUUCUGAGGCUUACAUCGGAAGCUGGGGUCACGAAGCAGAGCAGCCUCCAGGACGGUGAUGAGUCAUGGCAGCGGCAGCGCCUGCCUCCCCCUUCUGUGGGCUUCCACCAGCACCCGGGGUCGGCUGUCAGCCGUGUCAGUGUGCGCUCUGACAUCUGGGACUAGCAGCGGACCAGCCCGCUCUUGGCAUGAUCUGCACAUUUCUGUCGGCUUAGCUUUGAGCCUGACGGCCGGCCCUCCCGGAGAUUUUAGCUGCUUGUAAGAAUUUCCUUUGCUGCUUAAAUCAGAAAUCUACUUACAUCAGGGAAAUGCAAAUUCAAACCUCAAUGAGAUAGAUACCCUUUCAUGUCCCCGAGAUGAGGAGAAACAGAUAUCCCUCCCCUGCUGGAGUGGGUAUAAAUUGGGAUGGAUACCUUGGAGGACAAUUUGUUAAUGUCUAAAGAAUUGGAAUGCAGGUACCUUAUGACCCGGAAAUUCCACUUCUAGUCCUGUUCUCUAAACCACAGCUCGCGGAGACAACUGCAAGACUCUUCCUUAGGGCACUAUUUAUAACACCAACCCCGCGCCCCCCCCAAACAACCUACUUUGAGGUCAGUGUGGAAUGAAUAAUAAAUUGCAGUAUAUUCAUACAAUGUAUCAACUAGAACAGCACAUACCAAGAUGGAUAGAUCUUGAAAGCGUCACUUUGGGUGAAAAGGACAGGACGUUGCAGAAGGAUAUGCAUAGUGUACGACUGAUAUGCAUUUGAAGACAUAACACGCAAACACAGAAGAGGAGGGGUAAAACACAGAUAAGGUGGUGGCCAUACCCAUGUUAAUAUCCUGGUUGUCAUGUGACAUUGUAGCUUUGCAUCCCUAGGGGCAACUGGGCAAAGAGUAUCAUUUCACAGAAUUGCACAAUCUACAGCGAAAUCAAUAAAACUUCAUUAAAAGAUACCAAACAAUGUAUAUAUAACUUACAGACACAUGGUGGCUUCUUCUGAGGGGAGGAGAGAAAACGGGAUUUACGAAAGACAGAACGGAGGCUUCAAAUCUUUCUUUUUUCUUAGAAAGAUCUUGAGGCAAAUAUGGCAAAAUGUUAACAUUUAAAAAAUCUGGAUGUAGGUGAAUGAGUGUUUGUAUACCUUUCUUUGCAUUAAAAAAUGGCCGAAAGGUUCAAUGAGAUACUGUUCAUCAAUUAUUUAAGGCAGCGCCUGGCUCAUGGCAGGUGCGCAGUGCAUCUCAGAGUGCUCGAUAAUCCCCGAUCCUAUUAGCCAGGAGGGUAAGGGCUGCUGGUGUUUGGCAUAGCUCCAGAGAAGUGUAUUUUUCUUCAACUCAUCCCCCAAUUUUCCCCCUCUGCUGAGGGAUAUAUCAUCACAAACUCUACUUUCCAAUUCUCAUCACUCAUCUUCAUGAAGGACCACAGUGAAGGCAUUACUCUCGAGGUCCCAACACGAUGGAGCGGAGGGGAGGGGAGCACAGUCUGAGGCCAAGCUGCCGGCUGGAUGGGGCUGGAUGCCUCCGCCGUACACGGGGACACCAGCAGCCCUGCCUCAUAGGGUCAUCCUGAGGACCAAGCGAGCUAAAAUGUGUGGCAUCUCAGAACACAGCCUGACAGCGGGGGUUCUGGUUCCCGCAGGGCACAGCUGGGACCAAGGCGGAAACGCUCCCCACCCUGUGGACCCCGUGAUCUUGUCUGAAAGUCAGCAUUUCUGACCCACGUUACAGCUGAGGAAACAGACUCAGAGAACUUGCCCACUUAUGGCACUUGUCCCGGGGCCCAGGGAGGUCAACAAGGACUGUCAGAUCCCUCCCCCGGCCCUGCGUUUGAAGAAGGUCAACAUCUGAGGAGAGAGAGUCAAGCUGGUGGUUGGCUGAAGGCAGAAGGGGGGCUUGGCGGAGUGAGAUGGGGGAAGUUUGGAGGAUCUGGGCCACAUUUGAUCCUCUGGGUCCAUCUUUCCCUCUUCCCUCCCCUCCCAGCUCUGCGAGCUUAGGGACAGCCCCGUUCAGAUAAAACAUCCUGGAGAAAUGUCUGAGAAACUCAUCGGAGAGAAAAUUCCUUCUCAGGCUUCCCACUAUGUUAGGAAUUUCAGAAGGAAGAUGAGUAAAAAAGCAACCCCAGUUCAUUACUGAAAUGGGUGGGCCGAGAUCGCCAUCUGCAGGCGGCAAGUUUCUUCUGCCGACUUGAAUUCUUUCCAUGAUCCCAAAACCCAAAGGGCACCCCCAGAAAUCACCUCCUCCAGCCUCCACGCUUCACCCGAGGGAAGAUCAAGUCCCCGUCAACUCAGCAUCCCACUCAAGAGCACCCCGCCGGCUGGCAGGAGAAUACUUCCAAAAAAGAUGACUUUCAGUAAUUUUUUUUCUUUUUAAUUCAUUUUAUUGUGGUAAAGUACACACAAGAAAAAACUUACCAUCUUAACCAUUUUUUUAAAGAUUUUAUUUUUCCUUUUUCUCCCCAAAGCCCCCCAGUACAUAGUUGUGUAUUUUUAGUUGUGGGUCCUUCUAGUUGUGGCAUGUGGGACACCCCCUCAGCAUGGCUUGAGGAGCGGUGCCACAUCCACACCCAGAAUUCGAACUGGCGAAAUUCGAACUGGGCCUCCGAAGCAGAGUGCGCUAACUUAACCACUUGGUCACAGGCCGGCCCCUUAACCAUGUUCAAGUGUUCAGUUCUGCGGCAUUGAGCACAUUCACGUUGUUGUGCAGCCAUCCCCAGCGUCCAUCUCCAGGACUUUUUCAUCUUCCCAAACUGAAACUCGGUCCCUUUUAAAUUAACUCCUCAGACCCCCAUCCCCAGCCGCCAGCACCCACCCUUCUACUUUCUGUGUCUGUGAAUUUGACUGCUCCAGGUCCCUCACAUAGUAGAAUCAUAUAACGUUUGUCCCUCUGUGACUGGCUUAUUUCACUUAGCACAGUGUCCUCAAGGUUCAUGGACGCUGUAGCAGGUGUCAGAAUCUCUUUCCUCUUUAAGGCUGAACCAUAUUCCGUGGUAUGGACACACUACAUUUUAUUUACCCAUUCGUCUGUCAACAAACACCUGGGUUACUUCCACUUUUUGGAUAUUGUGAAUAAUGCUGCUAUGAACAUUGGUGUGAAAAUAUCUAAGUCUCUAUAAUUUUUAAUGAACUUUUUUUUUUGGAAUUACUUCAGAUUUACAAAAGAGUUGCAAAGAUAAUUCAGAGAGUUCUCGUAAACCCUAAGGUUCACAUCUUACAUGACCAUGUCACGUUUGCCACAACCAAGAAAUUAACAUUAGUACAUUACUAGUCACGAAAUUCCAGACACUAUUUUAAUUUCACCUGCUUUUCCACUAAUGUCUCAUUUCUGUUCCAGGAUGCAACCCAGACUGCUACAUUGUACCCAGUCAAUGAUUUUUUUAAACUGAUAAUUAUGAACACUACACAGCAAUGUGGAAAAAGAACAUUGGUGAUACAGUGUUAAGAGGGGGGCGGGGGGGGGGAAGUAAAUUAGAAGAUUGUAUCUGUGCGAAGCCAGAUAUUGAAUGCAAAUAUUGAAACUAUUUGUGUAGAGCGUGUCACAGUGAUCUGGUGAGGCAGGCAGCACCACUACCUGCCUUUACAGAUGGAGAAGGCGAAGCUGAGGUCACCCCACCCAGGCCACGGGUCCCUGGUGCCCCCCCCGCUGCUGCGGCUGCUGGUGGCUCUCAGCUGCACCUUGCUCUGGCAGAUUGUUCCCAGUCCACACCCUCAGCCCACAGCUGACCCGUACAGGGUACAGUCGGGUCCCUUGUCUCCAGGUUCCAGGCAUCCUCCAGCGCUCCGAGGACCAGGUGAGGCUAGACCUCAGCCCGACUCCUUCCCCACCCUCCUCUGCCCCCUCACUCCCUGCUCUUUCCCCCCAAGGACACUCUCAGCAAGGAUCCCGGGCCCAGGCUCUGCUUCUUGGCGAGUUGGCCUAAGACAUUGACGGAGGUGGCGAAGCAACUGGCUCCCCGGAGGCCCAGCUGGUGGGUGGGAGCCUCGCCGUCUUCAAUGUCUGACUCGAAAUCUACACGCAGACGCCCUCGGUUCCUGCUUCUCACGGGCAAAGCUUAUUCCAAGGGUCAGGGACACGAAUCCGACAACCGACCCUACGCCGAGGCUCCCUAAUGCUGUGCAAUCACCCGGAUGCCGCCAGCACGGCCGAGCGUCACGGGAGCCUGGACUCCGAGGUAAGGCAGCCUUGGGAUGCCAGGCCACACUCAGGGCAGGAACCGGAGUUUUGCCACAGAUCCGCACCUUGCAACGCAAUCUUAGGAGGAAGCUUGUAAAAAAAACAGAAGCAAGAGGAGCCACUCCAGAUGACAGGGGACUGGCAGCCCUGAGGGCCCAUCCACUAGACUUUUCUAGAAAGUUCUGAGGCCCCAUGACAGAGGUCAGAAAAUGCAACAGUAGCUCGAGCACUGUAAAAAAAAAAAAAAGCACAGCUCUUGACUGUACUUAUUUUCCUUUUUUUUUUUUUGAGGAAGAUUAGCCCUGAGCUAACAUCUGCCGCCAAUCCUCCUCUUUUUUGCUGAGGAAGACUGGCCCUGACCUAACAUCCAUGCCCAUCUUCCUCUACUUUAUAUGUGGGACGCCUACCACAGCAUGGCGUGCCAAGCGGUGCCAUGUCUGCACCCGGGAUGGAACUGGUGAACCCCGGGCUGCCGAAGUGGAAUGUGCUCACUUAACUGCUGAGCCACUGAGCCAGCCCCUUAUUUUCCAUUUUUACAUGUGCUUUUGCUGAGUUUGAAAGGAAUCUAUGCUUCGGUGUAAAAGAAAUUCAAACACUGCAAAAAAAUGUGACUCCUCCCUAAUUCUUCAGCCGACAGCAAACCUUACCACGGUUUACAAGGCCCCACGCCUUCUAGCGCCUGCCCAUCCCUGGUGUCGGUUCCUACCACUCACCGUGCUGGACAGAGAGACCUUCCAUCUUCCCCACACGGCCACAUUUGUCCCCCUGCUGCCUCAGGGCCUUUGCACUUCCCAGUCCUCUUCAGAAAGCCCUUCCCCUGCUGCUGUUCCAUUCUCGCCACCCAUCCCCACACAGCUCCCAUUUCUGGCUUCUUAGGGCUCAGCUCGUGUGUCCUCCUCAGAGAGGCCUCUCUGAUCCCUGGUCUACGCUGCCUUCCACUGCCCCCCAGUUAUUGUAAUAAUUUAUCUUCACUCCACUUAUCGCCAUCUGAGGUUAUUUCGUUUGUCUACUGUCCGUCUCUCCAGCUGGAGGGGCAGCUCUGUGAGGGCAGAGAUCUUAACUCAGCAACUCAGGCAGACCAGUCUCUCAAUGAGUAUUUAUUGAAUUCAUCAAAUACCAUUUGGUAUAUGCAUAUUUUUCCUAUGCAUAUACUAAUAUUUACUUACUUAAUAUUUUAAGAAAGCAUCAUAUGGCACAUAUAAUUCUGCUAUUUGUUGUUUCCUUUGACAACAUGCCCUUGACUGAAUCUGACACCCUUAUGAGAGGGCGGUCUGUUUAACCAGCCCAGGUCCACUCAUUCAUUCAUUCAUUCAUUCGUCUGGUCCAUAGCACUUCCUGAGCAUCCACCCCCGGCCCGUCCGAUGCGGCAGACACCAGCCACAUGGGCCUGGGAGCCCCGCACGGGUAGCUAGUGUGACCCAGGACCUCAAUUGUUCAUUUUAUUUCAUUUUAAUUAAUUUACAUUUUAAAAAUGAUACUCAAUUCAGCUACCGGAAAACUUUCAAGUAUGUUUGGAACAACUGAGGCAUACGAACCUACUUUUUCAACCCUAAAUUUUAUGAGCUCUAAAUACAGAUCAAGUAUUUGUGAUGAAAAUUGAGCGUCUAAACCGAGAUGUGCUAUAAGUACGAUACAAGCUGGACUGCCAGGACAGUGCACAAAAAAACGGAAGGUAAAAUAUCUCAUUCAAUCAUUUUAAUAUUAGGGCCAGCCCGGUGGCGCAGUGGUUAAGUUCACACGUUCCGAUCUGGUGGCCCAGGGUUCGCCAGUUCCCAUCUCAGGUGCAGACGUGACACCGCUCAUCAAGCCAUGCUUGUGGCAGGCGUCCCACAUAUAAAGUAGAGGAAGAUGGGCACGGAUGGUAGCUCAGGGCCAGUCUUCCUCAGCAAAAAGAGGAGGCUUGGGGGCAGUUAGCUCAGGGCUAAUCUUCCUCAAAAAAAUAAAAUAAAAUAAUUUUAAUGUUAAUUAUAUGCUAAAGUGAUAAUGUUCAAAUAUGUUGGGUUAAAUGAAAUAUUUUAUUAAAAUUGAUUUUACCUGUUCUUUUUACACUUUUCAGGUGGCCACCAGACGAUUCUAAAUUACACACGUGGCUCACAUUCCACUUUUAUUGGAUGGUGCUGAUCUACUCCGUCCUGGGAGUGAGCUAGGCUAUCACUGGAGAGCAAACUUCAUAAAAAGGUCAAUGUUGACACAAGGAGUUCUCAACAACCGUAGUCCAGCCAAGAUAGCACAUCUUUGAUUUACUAACUUGUUCUUUCAUUGUUUAUUCAAUCAUUCAUUCAAUCAACAAACAUCUUCAAACACCUGCUACCUACUGGGCACUGUCUCAAGCUCUGGAGCUCCUGGUGAAACAAAUCACAGUCCUUGCUCUCAGUCUUCCCCGAGCUCAGGAGGUCCGCCCAUCUCUUUUGUUCACUGGCAUUAACAUUUUAGCCUAUAUGCUUCGUCUCCUGCAAUCCUUAUUUACACUUCUGAGAGUAAGUUGCACGCACCCUGGCCUUUUGCCCUGAAAUGCUUCAGGGGUGUAUUUCCUUAGAACAGGGACGUUCUCUUACCUUAGUUCGGUUACUGACUUAGGUAAAUUUAGCCUUGACAGUAUUAUUUGAUCUAAUCUCCGGUUCGUAUUCCAAUUCUGGCAGUUUCAGCAAUUGACUCAAUAACACGCUUCAAAGCGGUUUUCCCUCCAGGACAGGAUCCAGCCACGGCCAGGCGGUGGAAUUAUUCUCCUGUCUCCCCAAGGUCCCGAGUCCCUCUGAAGCAGAGUUGUCUCUCCCAUCAUACAGCCACGGUGGAAGCUUUCCUUCGAGGUCUCCGCAGAGAUAAGCUGACCCAGCUCCACAACCAACUUUGGAGAAAAUCCGACCUCAUCUUGUAAAGCUGAAGAUGCCCAACCCCGGAGCCAUCCGUGCCAGUCCCAGGUUCACGUCCCUCAGAUGCGCCCCUGCACACGCAGGACAGCAUCCCUCACGGCAUUGUCUGCAAUGCCCCAAACCCGAAACAACCAAAUUCCCAGCAACCGGGUAACGGAUGCAGAAGCUCGGCUGCAGUGCCCCGCGGAAAGCUCUUCAGCAGCGAAACGAAGGGCUGCCGCUCUGCCUGCGAAAGUGAAUUAACCUCAGAAAGACAACAGAAAAAAGGGCAAAGUCCAGAGUAAUACAGACAAAUAAGGUUCACAAACGUGCAUUAUGUAGUUUGGUGACAUAGAUGUUAUUAUAUAUAUAAAAAAUAUACAUUAGGGGCUGGUCCCGUGGCCGAGUGGUUAGGUUCUCGUGCUCUGCUGGGGCGGCCCAGGGUUCGGAUCCCGGGCGUGGACAUGGCACUGCUCGUCAGGCCACGUUGAGGCGGCGUCCCACAUGCCACAACUAGAAGGACCCACAACUAGAAUAUACAACUAUGUACGGGGGAGUUUGGGGAAAUAAAGCAGAAAAAAUAUUAUAUAUACACUUUAAAUAUAUAUUGUACGUAUACUAAAUAUAUAGAGUUUAUCAUGCCCUUGUUAUCUUUAUAGAUUUAUAAUUUUAUUAUAUAUGUAUAGUAUUUUUACUGUAUAGAGUAUAAAUAUAACUUUUUCUUUUUGAGGAAGACUGGCCCUGAGCUCACAUCCAUGCCCAUCCUCCUCUACUUUAUAUGUGGGACACCUACCACAGCAUGGCUUGACAAGUGGUGCCAGGUCCACACCCAGGAUCCGAACCGAUGAACCCCGGGCCACCGAAGCGGAACGUGUGCACUGAACCGCUGCACGACCAGGCUGGCCCCUAUAAUUUAUAUUAUAUAUAAACUUAUAUAUUAUAAUAUCUAAAUAUAUGUUUACUAUAUAUAGUAUUUUAUCUCUAUAUGUUUACUCUAUAUUUAUCUAUAUAUAUUUAUUAUACAUAGUAUUUUAUCUAUACAUAGUAUUUCAUCUCUAUAUAUUUUAUAAAAAUACUUUAAAUACUAUAAAUACUAUAAUAUAUAAAAUUAUUUAUAUAAUAAUUUUCGUAUUUAUAUAAUAAAUACUAUAUGAAUAUAGAUAAAAUCCUACAUGUAAAGUACUAUAUAUAUAGUAAAAUUAUAAAUCUAUAAAGAAAGAUAGGAGCAUGAUAAACAUAAAAUGUAUUGCCAUUUCUAGACAGUUCAAAACGUUUUAAAACUCAGAGUCGCUGGUGUGUGGACCCCCAGGCGGGCGGCUGUGGAACACCAGCACCCUGAGGACCACAGUCUGAGAACCGCCAGGCUGGCAGCUGUCUAGGUUCUGCCCCCUGGGGUUCUGUUCCUUCCAACUUGAUGGAAAAACCGCAAAAAAAAUGCAAAUCUGUUCUAACAACCUAGCCUCUCUUCAAAGUAUAUACACACAGCAAUUCUGCAAAUACAAACUUGGAU